Agrilus planipennis (emerald ash borer) is the source of this 1004-nucleotide long non-coding RNA. RefSeq lists it as uncharacterized. Lineage: Eukaryota; Metazoa; Arthropoda; Insecta; Coleoptera; Buprestidae. The transcript is spliced from 3 exons. The record is from RefSeq and is a predicted model, not a curated record.
AAAAGAAGUUUAUUGUACUGAAUUGAACAAUUUAAACCACUUCUGCUUAAUUUUAAAGUAAAUCUCCUAAUAUGGCAGGUGGUGUUAAUAUAUGUCCUAAGGUGCUGCAAUAUGUUUCUUUUAGUGCUUGACUUAUUCUACCACCAAUCUAUUAAGGAUAAAAGAUUUGGAUUGGGUUUAAUAAAGCAAGAUUGUCUGUGAAAGAAUGUUUCGUCAAGUACUUAAGAAUCAACAUCAGAAAUUCGAAUUCUGCAAUAAUGAUACAUAGCCAAUGAAAAUUCCAUUGGAUGGAAGUGAGGAUGUUUUGAAAGAAAGGUAGGAAAACAGAGGGCACAAAAAGGAGAAAUAAGAUGUUAGAACACUUUCUGAGACGUAAAGGCUGGGGUCAGUUAGACAUAUUAGAAGCAGAAGCAGGAUUAAACACUGAAGAAGGCCCAUAUUACAUUACUGUUCUCGUACAGUUGUGAUAUGAGGUGUUGCAGUUCUUGGGAAAUGUAAAAACAGACUCAGGAUAGCAAAUAGUGGAGGAGUGUGUCCAAUUAGAUUCUGGAUUGAUGACCUUAUGAUGAUGAUGGAUAUUUUUCUUUAUAUUGUCAUAAAAACAUUUUUUAUCAAAAUUAAAUAUUAAGAAAGUGAAGUACAGAAUUGCAUAUGACGUCAUAUUGCUAUAGUUUUCUUAUUUGAUGCCAGAGUGAAAAAUCUGCUGCUAAUUUGAAUUCCUUACAUCGUUUUGCUUCAGAUUAUGUGUCUGUACAGUUAUAAAUACGUUUAUAAUGUAAUUAUAAAAUAAUAACAUUUAGUACCCUGUUUACCAAAUAGUAAAAGUGCACUGUUUGAUUUAUUUCAAAUGUAACUGCACUUAUGUCUUAUAUUUCAAUUCUGUACUUUAUUUUACAUCGAUAUAUUUUGUAUAUUCAUAAAAAGAACUUUAAUAUAUGCUUUGUCAAUUUAUUUAUUAAUUUUCAAGUUAAAGUAAGAUUAAUUCUGUUUCUGUAUUGUAUUCU